This 585-nucleotide ribosomal RNA is filed under the name uncultured bacterium. RNAcentral's name for it is "partial 16S ribosomal RNA". It matches the Rfam family "Bacterial small subunit ribosomal RNA", at positions 355 to 1375 of the family's 1533-position model. The record is from RNAcentral.
UGGGGAAUUUUGGACAAUGGGCGAAAGCCUGAUCCAGCAAUGCCGCGUGUGUGAAGAAGGCCUUCGGGUUGUAAAGCACUUUUGUCCGGAAAGAAAUCCUUGGCUCUAAUACAGUCGGGGGAUGACGGUACCGGAAGAAUAAGCACCGGCUAACUACGUGCCAGCAGCCGCGGUAAUACGUAGGGUGCAAGCGUUAAUCGGAAUUACUGGGCGUAAAGCGUGCGCAGGCGGUUUGCUAAGACCGAUGUGAAAUCCCCGGGCUCAACCUGGGAACUGCAUUGGUGACUGGCAGGCUAGAGUAUGGCAGAGGGGGGUAGAAUUCCACGUGUAGCAGUGAAAUGUGUAGAGAUGUGGAGGAAUACCGAUGGCGAAGGCAGCCCCCUGGGCCAAUACUGACGCUCAUGCACGAAAGCGUGGGGAGCAAACAGGAUUAGAUACCCUGGUAGUCCACGCCCUAAACGAUGUCAACUAGUUGUUGGGGAUUCAUUUCCUUAGUAACGUAGCUAACGCGUGAAGUUGACCGCCUGGGGAGUACGGUCGCAAGAUUAAAACUCAAAUGAAUUGACGGGGUCAUAGCUGUUUCCU